RNAcentral lists this long non-coding RNA (215 nucleotides) under Mytilus galloprovincialis (Mediterranean mussel). The record is from RNAcentral. Lineage: Eukaryota; Metazoa; Mollusca; Bivalvia; Mytilida; Mytilidae.
UAUAGUUGAGUUUUUUGUGUUUUGGUCUGUUUUCUCAUACUUUAUGCAAUAGGUCUACUAUAUUUGUUGUAUGGAAUGAUUGUAAGGUGUACAUGUCUAGCGGGCAGAUGUCAUCUGACCUUGACCUCAUUGUCAUGGUUCAGUGGUCAAAGUUAAGUUUUUAAGUUUUGGUCUUUUUAUCUAAUAUUAUAUGCCAAAGGUCAACUAUAUUUGGU